UGAGAGAGGGAAAGCAGCAGGUUUCUGGGCACCUGCCUUGGAUCGUGACCUUCCCUGGGAGAGCAGGACCAUCUCUGGAGCUCUCCCCUCCACCACAUGGGAAGAUGCCUCCCACCCCGGGAGGAAGGCACGACUGGACUCCAACCAUCAAUCAUGUCCUGCUGGGAAGGCUUCCUUUCUAGAUAACCUUUUUCCUGCUGCCCAACAUGCUUAUCUGCUGCAGACAGACUGGCAAGAUGAACCGGAAAGCUGAUACCUUAUCUUUCCUUCUCAAGGAGCUUAGUUAAGAGCUGGAAUGUGUUGCGAUGGGCUCUCCUCCUCUUUUCCCAGCCCCUCCAGCUUUCUCACCCCCAUAUCCCAACACACACCCCCCCCAUCUUGACCCUGCAGCAGCGAAGGGGUUUGACUCCACCACACCAGGCAAAAUCCUCUUCUCACCCGGCGGAGCAUCUACCCGACGCCUUGGAACACGGGGCAGCAGGAAAGCUGAGCAGGAGCUGACCUUGGGCUGCUGUCUGAGUUAAAUGGAAAACUAGAAGGACCAUGACCUGACCUGUUAAGGUGCAAGGUGGUGCAGGUCUUCUGAAGAGCAGCACAGGAAUUCAUCACCUUAUGCCAAGGUUUGACGAUGUCCCCAUGGACCAGGAUGUUGUGGAGCCACACUCUUCCCUUUGGUGGUAGGGACAGACCAUGUCCUUUCAUUAUUGUGCCCAGCUCUGAACAGAGAAGAGAAGCCAAGCCCCAGUGCAGCCCUGAGCCAAGAGACUUGCAAAGCUUUGUAGAGCUGGCCCUGGCACACUGUUGGGCACAGGUGGAAAAGCUGUUGCAUUAGUUUUUUCUUUAAUUGGCACAUCUAUUCCCUUGGCCUUGGAUUGUUGCCUUGGAGAUGCACAAGAGACCUUUGGAGAACUGCUUAUUACAGCAGCAGGUGUGCACAACACUGACCUGGAGAAGCAUGAGUCACCUGCUAUGGUUUGGGUUGUAGGUGGCUACAUGAGUCACUGAAAGUGAGGGGAUCCCACACUGUCUGGUCUCCUGAAGCCUCUGGGUGCUUGUUGUUAUUAUGCAUCAAGAGCAGGCUGUACAAAAUGGUCCAGUUUCUUCCUCCUCAGCUGACACGGGCUGCGAAGCAGCAUGGUGCUGCAGAGUAGGGUGGCUGAAUAUGAAAACCAGCAGCUGCAUUCAGAGGCCCUCCUCAGAAAUCUGGCUGGCCUGGAGCUUCUCUCAUGGAGGGCAGUGAGGUUUGUAUGGGCAGGAAGCAAGUUAGAAGAGCUGUUUGUGUGUGCGUGCAUGUGUGUACUUGUCUGACCAAUGGAGAAAGAAAAACUAAACACACCAGACUAACACCCCAGCUGCCUGAGUUGGUGUGAGUGGGAGUUUCCCAAUGUCAGGAAGGAGGGUGGGCUCCUGCACACAAGUCGCUCUGUGGAGAGAAGCAGAGGCCAUUGGCCUGCUGUGUCUAGACAGAAAAAACAUGCUGCAGAAAGAUGAGAUGAGACACCAAAGAGGCAGGAGUAGAGUGUAAUACUUUGAUAUCCAGAAAAGGAGGGGAUCUGACAACCAGAUGAUGGUUUUCAGCGGCGCUGGUGUCUCUUGGUAGCUCAGUGCCUGGCAACUUCCAUAGCAGUGCAGAUCAACUGUAGGAACAUCACAUAUGGUCCAGAAAGCUGUUCAUGCAUUUCCUCCCUCUGCACUACUCGAUACUGUUUGAGAUCAGAUUAUACCCCUCAUGAGCAGCGAUCUAGGUGCUAGGCCUUAUGCUUUUCCUGUAACCUGGGGAGAGGUGGGGACUGCUCCUCCUCAAGUGCUGCCCGUGCCAGGGAAAUGUACUGCAAAAUCCCUCUAAAGCCACCUUCCCUUCAUGGGCAAGGACAUGCCAGGGUGACAGCACAUGACUGGUGACCCAUGAAUAAGCUACAGUGCACUUGCAAGAGGCCAGCACAUACACAGGUGCUUGUCCCUCAUGUAGUACAUAUAUGUGGACAUACGUAUUUUAUAUAUACAUAUAUGAUAUGUGUGCCAUUAUUGCAAACUGCUGCACAGUCCCUAAGAAAUAAAUGCAUGCAUACCU
Apus apus (common swift) is the source of this 2071-nucleotide long non-coding RNA. RefSeq lists it as uncharacterized. The record is from RefSeq and is a predicted model, not a curated record. NCBI's taxonomy places the organism in Eukaryota, Metazoa, Chordata, Aves, Apodiformes, Apodidae. The transcript has 6 exons.